GGAAUCUUCCACAAUGGACGAAAGUCUGAUGGAGCAACGCCGCGUGAGUGAAGAAGGUUUUCGGAUCGUAAAACUCUGUUGUUGGAGAAGAACACGUUUGAGAGUAACUGUUCAGACGUUGACGGUAUCCAACCAGAAAGCCACGGCUAACUACGUGCCAGCAGCCGCGGUAAUACGUAGGUGGCAAGCGUUAUCCGGAUUUACUGGGUGUAAAGGGUGUGUAGGCGGGUGAUCAAGUCAGAUGUGAAAUACCUUGGCUCAACCAAGGAAUUGCAUUUGAAACUGACCAUCUUGAGAGCAGGAGAGGUAAGCGGAAUUCCCAGUGUAGCGGUGAAAUGCGUAGAGAUUGGGAGGAACACCAGUGGCGAAGGCGGCUUACUGGACUGCAACUGACGCUGAAACACGAGAGCGUGGGGAGCAAACA
This 424-nucleotide ribosomal RNA is filed under the name uncultured bacterium. RNAcentral describes it as "bacterial SSU rRNA". It matches the Rfam family "Bacterial small subunit ribosomal RNA", at positions 358 to 774 of the family's 1533-position model. The record is from RNAcentral.